This is a long non-coding RNA of Gadus morhua (Atlantic cod), 1373 nucleotides long. RefSeq lists it as uncharacterized. The transcript is spliced from 2 exons. Lineage: Eukaryota; Metazoa; Chordata; Actinopteri; Gadiformes; Gadidae. The record is from RefSeq and is a predicted model, not a curated record.
UUAGGUAGUGAAAUUAUUACACAAUACAGCAUGCAUACUUCAUAUGAAAUGUAUUUAUUAAUUAUUGAAAGAAAAUGAUCAUAACCUCAAGAAAACAACUGUGUAAUCAAGUAACUAAACUAAACCUGUGUUCAACUGAUUGUUUACAGAAUCAGGUGUGACCAGCCGGAAACGAACACCUCAUUCUCCACCGAGGACACAUCACUACAGUGUGACUUGACCAACAACAGCGAAGAUCUCGACAACCAAGAGGAACCGAGUCUGCAACCAAGCCGUGAAGCCAACCAAGAGGAAUUGAGAACUCUUCAGGAUGCAUUAACUGCACAAAAGCAGGAGAUAAUUAGUCUGAGGGUUAAGCUUGAGGCAAAGGACAGGGAACUCCACCUUCAGAAGUGCACAGACUUAAACCCUGAGAUAUUGAACAUAAGCCAUGUGCCUGAUUAUUUCAAAUACUGCACAGGUUUUACCUAUGACCAGUUUAAUGUCUUGUGUAAUUUGUUUUCCAUUCCAACUGACCCAGAUGCACCACAAACACACAUUCCACUGACAUAUAAAAAGAUUGAUAAUGAGAUCUUAAAACUUACGCUGCGCAGUCAAUUGUUACUGACACUGAUGAAAUUUAGACAAAAUUGGGACCACAAAGAUUUGGCAUUCCGCUUCAAGAUUCGUUUACAAAGUGUCAGCACUUUGAUAAACUCCUGGGUGGACUAUAUGUUUGAAAUUCUAGGGAAAUUGUCUGUUUGGCCACACAGGGACGUUAUUCCAGAGAAUAUGCCAGCUAAAUUUACAGAACUUAAAAUUGAGAAACCUAGUUCACUAGUGUUGCAGAGUCAGACUUACUCCACCUACAAGUCUACAAACACCCGUAAGUCUCUGGUGGCAUGUGAUCCACGAGGUGCCCUCAUUUAUGUGUCUGCCCUCUUCACUGGAUCCAUUUCAGACAAGGAAAUAUUCAAUAGGAGCAACAUCAUUGAUGUUUUGAAGGGGUGUGUUCAGUGUGGCUACCUAAAUGUAGGAGAUGGAUUGAUGGUUGAUAAGAGUUUCCUAAUAGAGAAAGAAGUUGAGGAGAUUGGCUUGAAACUUAACAUUCCACCUUUUGCAAGAGCAAACAGACAGAUGCCACAUGCAGAUGUUGAUCUGACAAAAAAAAUAGCCAAGCACAGGGUCCAUGUUGAAAGAGCUAUUGCGAAGAUACAUUUUUUUAAAAUUGUGUCAGGCAGAAUCCCCAUUUCUCGGCUUGGGAACAUAAAUCAAAUAUGGUAUGUUGUCAGUAUGUUGUCUAACUUUCAGCCACACAUCAUCAAAUAUUAAGGUUUGUGUGGAGAACAGCUAGGGGGUCAUGAUGAAAAAUAAAGAAUAUAUACUGUACUAUA